Molecule: RNA transcript, 1406 nt
Organism: Salvia splendens (bonfire salvia)
Lineage: Eukaryota; Viridiplantae; Streptophyta; Magnoliopsida; Lamiales; Lamiaceae
Exons: 3
Source: RefSeq, a predicted model, not a curated record
CCUCUCUCUACCUUUAUCUCUCCUAUUUCUGUUUCCCCCUCUAUCAAGUUGACUGUGUGCCUAAUUGCAUAAAAAGAUACCAGUGUUAAUUUGACAAGCAAGAAAUGUCGGAUUUGGGGGAAGAAUUUAUCAUAGAAGGCUACAAAGUUGCGUGGCUAAUUUGGAUCCAACUUGUAGUGAUGUUUCUUCUCAUCAUUCUCCUCUUCUUUGGCUUCAGCGCAUUUACUUUUGAACCUUCCACUUCCUCAACCGCUUCGCCGGCCUCCGCCGCCGCCGCACCACCGCCUCAUCUCAAUAAUCCCAGUUCAUCCCGUAGGAGAGAUAAGCUGUGGAGGAGAGAAGGAGAGGUGUUGGUAGAGAGAGAAAGGGAAGGAAAAUAGAAGAGGAGAGGGCGGCGGUGGUGGUAAAAGGAGGCAGACAAAAUAAUCGGAGGGUAGAGGGUGAGAUGAAUUGUCUAGGAUUAAAGCUAGUCAGUCCACUGUGGAUGCGGGCCUUGUCGGGCCUAGACUAUAUGUUGCGGGCCUUGAUGGCAUAGAAAUGGACAACUGAACAGCACACUACAUUCAAUCUUUGAUUGAAUCAUGCCAUCCGAACAGGGGCUUAGAGGUUGUCAUGUGGUGGUCUUUCUUCUUGGCCUAGUCUGUUUGGGUUUUAAUAUCCAGAUUCAUUGUAACUAUAUUUGAGUUUACUUAACUGUUUAACAUAGAUAUUGUUGAUUCGGAACCUGCAGAAUUGGAAUAUUAGUGAUUUCGAGACCUUCCCUCUUCUCAUAUCUUCAUUUGAAUGAGUUGAAAAUAAGAACACUCUUCCCAAGUUCAAUCCCAAAACCAUGGAUAAUAGAUAAACGACCUUAUAAGGCAUCAGCUCUGUUAUCUGUGUACGUUAUGUUGUUGCUAUAUUGAUAAGAAGAUAUAUAGGAGUCGAGCUUAUGCUAAUGUUUUGCUGUCAUGAUAAUUUUUUGGACCGUGGAUGUUUUAGGCAGAAGUUCAGAGGACUACAAGAGAUAGAGCAAGCAUUGCAGAAUUUACCAGAGAAGUCCAAAAUGGGGAGGAGUCUUCUUCUAAGGAUUCUUCGUUUCUCAGAAUCUUCAGAAAUCCUAACCACCCUUGCAACUAUUUUGACGUAGCAAAACGUGCAGUUCUCAAGUGUUUAGGCUUGGACUCUAGCUCCGAGCCCUCCAGGAGGAGCGAUCAGCAUGAUAAACAAGAGUAAUGCAUGUACAUUUUUGGUGAUCAUCUGUAAUGGUGAUAAGAUUAGGAGCAGCACAUAGUUCAGUAGGACCUCCUCAUGAACUCGUGAUUAGACGGUGUAUAUAGGCAGCCUCAUUGUACUCAACUGUAACUCAAUACGGUAAUAUUAAACUCCAAUUCUUUUGCAUAUAAUUGAGCAGCUAAAGUCUUCGGUUU